RNAcentral lists this ribosomal RNA (490 nucleotides) under Salmonella enterica. Its description in RNAcentral is "bacterial SSU rRNA". It matches the Rfam family "Bacterial small subunit ribosomal RNA", at positions 71 to 554 of the family's 1533-position model. The record is from RNAcentral. Lineage: Bacteria; Pseudomonadati; Pseudomonadota; Gammaproteobacteria; Enterobacterales; Enterobacteriaceae.
GGAAGCAGCUUGCUGCUUUGCUGACGAGUGGCGGACGGGUGAGUAAUGUCUGGGAAACUGCCUGAUGGAGGGGGAUAACUACUGGAAACGGUGGCUAAUACCGCAUAACGUCGCAAGACCAAAGAGGGGGACCUUCGGGCCUCUUGCCAUCAGAUGUGCCCAGAUGGGAUUAGCUUGUUGGUGAGGUAACGGCUCACCAAGGCGACGAUCCCUAGCUGGUCUGAGAGGAUGACCAGCCACACUGGAACUGAGACACGGUCCAGACUCCUACGGGAGGCAGCAGUGGGGAAUAUUGCACAAUGGGCGCAAGCCUGAUGCAGCCAUGCCGCGUGUAUGAAGAAGGCCUUCGGGUUGUAAAGUACUUUCAGCGGGGAGGAAGGUGUUGUGGUUAAUAACCGCAGCAAUUGACGUUACCCGCAGAAGAAGCACCGGCUAACUCCGUGCCAGCAGCCGCGGUAAUACGGAGGGUGCAAGCGUUAAUCGGAAUUAC